AAAUUUGUGAAAUCGCCCCAAAAAGGAUGCUUAAGUAUAUACAAAAUCUCAAAUGGCAAUAGUGUAAUAGUGUAAGUGUCUGCCAGGUUCCUCUGUUUCAAAAAUAAGCCAACUACGUGUUUUAAAAGAACAUUUUUGUUAUGCUUAAACAAUUAAUAAUCAAUUCGCAGUGACAAAUCAACCUCUUAUAUUUGUGAAAUUGCUCCGUUAAGGAAGCAGCUGGAGAGAGCGUCUUAUGCACAUACAUAGGCAAACUAAUUGUAAUAUUUCUUGCCGGUGCUUGAAACGAUCAAGAUUCUCGAUUUGAGAACUUUGCCUCUUUCAUCGGGGACUCAGUUUGGAUGAAGAAAAAAAGAGAGGCUGAUGUAAGUGUUUUCUGUUGGGGACACCGUUUGGAUAAAGAAAGAAUGAGAGGCAAAAAAAUGUCACGUCCCCAUAAUAGGCCAACACCUAUGGAUACGAUUGAAUGGAAUUGGAUGUGGUUUUACACCUUGUUUUGUGUGUGUAUGUGUGUGUUCCUAAAAAUUUAAUUAAGUGCACUUAAAAUACAAUUCGUGUAUUGCAUUUACGUUUCACUCAAAUGGAGCUCAAAAAAUGACAUCGAAAAAUUUGCUGCAUUUGCAUAUAAAUGGUAUGGCAGCUGA
This is a long non-coding RNA of Drosophila willistoni, 644 nucleotides long. RefSeq lists it as uncharacterized. NCBI's taxonomy places the organism in Eukaryota, Metazoa, Arthropoda, Insecta, Diptera, Drosophilidae. The transcript is spliced from 3 exons. The record is from RefSeq and is a predicted model, not a curated record.